Molecule: microRNA, 21 nt
Filed under: Columba livia (rock pigeon)
Lineage: Eukaryota; Metazoa; Chordata; Aves; Columbiformes; Columbidae
Also listed under: 1 other name
Description: Cli-Mir-1781_5p* (star (passenger))
Source: RNAcentral
AACAGCUGAGUGAUUUAAAGC